Molecule: ribosomal RNA, 579 nt
Filed under: Podochlus longispinus
Lineage: Eukaryota; Metazoa; Arthropoda; Insecta; Diptera; Chironomidae
Description: eukaryotic LSU rRNA
Rfam family: Eukaryotic large subunit ribosomal RNA
Source: RNAcentral
UUCAGUACUGUAGCUUGCUGCAGUGUGCACUUUACUCUUAGUAAGACGUUGUGAUCCAUUAGGAAUGGAUGCCUUUAGUGGCAUCAGUAGGCUAUCAAUAGGCCAGUGUAAAGUUCACGGUGGCAAACAACCAGGUCGUCAUGGCCGGGUAUAUUGCCUUGUGAGUGCUCUGUGUUCUGCUAUAGCUGCCUGAUGGGUUUUAAAGGCCAUAUCGUAAUGCCUUGUGCAUUACCCACUGCGGUGGGAUAGCUAUGUGCCCGAUCAACAGCGGUUUAAAUUUGGGAUACCUUUGGGACCCGUCUUGAAACACGGACCAAGGAGUCUAUCUAGUGUGCGAGUAAAUGGGCAUAUGAAACCUAUUUGCGUAAAUAACUUGACUGUUAUGGGAUUACGAGUGCUCCUUGUGGGCAUUCCUCCAUCCCGGGGUAUUUUCAUAUAAUAUUCCGCCUUUAGGUGGUGUAUAGAAAAUAUACCAUGAGCAUACUGGAUAUGACCCGAAAGAUGGUGAACUAUGCCUGAUCAGGUUGAAGUCAGGGGAAACCCUGAUGGAGGACCGAAGCAAUUCUGACGUGCAAAUCG